AUUGAACGCUGGCGGCAUGCUUUACACAUGCAAGUCGAACGGUAACAGGGUGCUUGCACCGCUGACGAGUGGCGAACGGGUGAGUAAUGCGUCGGAACGUGCCGAGUAGUGGGGGAUAACGCAGCGAAAGUUGUGCUAAUACCGCAUACGUACUGAGGUAGAAGGUGGGGGACCUUCGGGCCUCACGCUAUUCGAGCGGCCGGCGUCUGAUUAGCUAGUAGGUGAGGUAAAGGCUCACCUAGGCGACGACCAGUAGCGGGUCUGAGAGGAUGAUCCGCCACACUGGGACUGAGACACGGCCCAGACUCCUACGGGAGGCAGCAGUGGGGAAUUUUGGACAAUGGGCGAAAGCCUGAUCCAGCCAUGCCGCGUGUCUGAAGAAGGCCUUCGGGUUGUAAAGGACUUUUGUCAGGGAGGAAAUCCCUAGUGCUAAUAACACUGGGGGAUGACAGUACCUGAAGAAUAAGCACCGGCUAACUACGUGCCAGCAGCCGCCGUAA
Molecule: ribosomal RNA, 500 nt
Filed under: uncultured bacterium
Lineage: Bacteria
Description: partial 16S ribosomal RNA
Rfam family: Bacterial small subunit ribosomal RNA
Source: RNAcentral